UUCGCAAUGCCCGAAAGGGUGACGAAGCGACGCCGCGUGCGGGAAGAAGGCCUUCGGGUUGUAAACCGCUGUCGGGAGUUAAGAAAUGUAAGGAUGUUAAUAGCAUCUUUGCUUGACUAAGGCUCCGGAGGAAGCCACGGCUAACUCUGUGCCAGCAGCCGCGGUAAUACAGAGGCGGCAAGCGUUGUUCGGAAUUAUUGGGCGUAAAGAGCACGUAGGCGGCUAUGUAAGUCGGUUGUGAAAGCCUUCCGCUCAACGGGAGAACAGCAUCCGAUACUGCAUGGCUUGAGUGCGGGAGGGGAGAGUGGAACUUCUGGUGGAGCGGUGAAAUGCGUAGAUAUCAGAAGGAACGCCGGCGGCGAAAGCGGCUCUCUGGCCCAUAACUGACGCUGAGUGUGCGUAAGCUAGGGGAGCAAACGGGAUUAGAUACCCCGGUAGUCCUAGCCGUAAACGAUGGGCACUAAGUAGAGGGGUUUU
This 477-nucleotide ribosomal RNA is filed under the name uncultured bacterium. RNAcentral's name for it is "bacterial SSU rRNA". It matches the Rfam family "Bacterial small subunit ribosomal RNA", at positions 365 to 832 of the family's 1533-position model. The record is from RNAcentral.